UUUCUGAAUGUACUUACUUUGGUUCAAACAGAAUUUUGAAUAAAUGAUAGGUGUUUGAGGGAGAGAACAGAUGGAGAGAUAUGGGAAUAAAUGGAAAGGGUUACAAAGCAAAAAAAGGGAGAGGAAUUGGACAGCCUUCUAGGGGACUAUGGUGUUAAACUGAAAACCUUCCUAAGGAAACAUGGGUUGCUGUUUCUGGUGUAUGGAUCAACUUUGUGUGGGUGUGUGGCCAAUUGGUGGUCAAAAAGUGUGUGAAAAUAGUGUACCUAAUAUGUUGUAUUAUUAACAAUUGUGUAUUGCAUUUGUAAGAUAUAUGUUGUGUUAAUAGUUUUGUGUGUGUGAGUGGCUAAAUAUGGGUUAGAUUUCACAUCAUUUCCUUGUCACAUUAUCUACUGAUUUUCUUUAAUGCGCUAGUGGUAGAGGCGUGUUUACCUCUAGCCGAGAAAGGUGAACAGGCAAAGGUGUGUAUGCCUCUGCCACUGGCAGAAAAGAAAGAAGAGGAGACCUGCACACCGAGGAAGAAGGAUCGUGCAGGACUCCUUUCGCCCCUCCCUAUGAAACACAAAGGGAAGGAAGGAAAUUGGUACAGGAAGAGAGAGAAAAAAAGAGAGAGAGAGAG
RNAcentral lists this long non-coding RNA (619 nucleotides) under Carica papaya (papaya). Its description in RNAcentral is "long non-coding RNA (CPAP_LNC014506)". The record is from RNAcentral. Lineage: Eukaryota; Viridiplantae; Streptophyta; Magnoliopsida; Brassicales; Caricaceae.